GGAUGGGCGAUGACACCCCAGUUGUAUCCUUAGAGCUGAACCAAUCGAGUGAAAACUUUUAAAUUGUUGUUCUCAUUGUGACUGAGGUCC
RNAcentral lists this small nucleolar RNA (90 nucleotides) under Chinchilla lanigera (long-tailed chinchilla). RNAcentral describes it as "Small nucleolar RNA SNORD116 (ENSCLAG00000018694.1)". It matches the Rfam family "Small nucleolar RNA SNORD116". From Rfam's summary of the family: HBII-85 is a member of the C/D class of snoRNAs, which contain the C (UGAUGA) and D (CUGA) box motifs. HBII-85 is encoded in a tandemly repeated array with another C/D snoRNA, HBII-52, in the Prader-Willi syndrome (PWS) region of chromosome 15. Unlike most other snoRNAs, HBII-85 is expressed prevalently in the brain (but is absent in PWS patients) and lacks any significant complementarity with ribosomal RNA. The record is from Rfam by way of RNAcentral. Lineage: Eukaryota; Metazoa; Chordata; Mammalia; Rodentia; Chinchillidae.